Non-coding RNA from Potamilus streckersoni, 75 nucleotides. NCBI's taxonomy places the organism in Eukaryota, Metazoa, Mollusca, Bivalvia, Unionida, Unionidae. The record is from the annotation of a GenBank genome assembly.
UGCUCUUGUGGCCUAGUGGUUAGAGUGACCGCCUCAGAUGUGGGAAGUUGUGGGUUUGAUCCCCGGUUGAGUCAU